RNAcentral lists this ribosomal RNA (253 nucleotides) under uncultured bacterium. Its description in RNAcentral is "partial 16S ribosomal RNA". It matches the Rfam family "Bacterial small subunit ribosomal RNA", at positions 524 to 776 of the family's 1533-position model. The record is from RNAcentral.
UACAGAGGGGGCAAGCGUUGUUCGGAAUUACUGGGCGUAAAGGGCUCGUAGGUGGCCAACUAAGUCAGACGUGAAAUCCCUCGGCUUAACCGGGGAACUGCGUCUGAUACUGGAUGGCUUGAGUUUGGGAGAGGGACGCGGAAUUCCUGGUGUAGCAGUGAAAUGCGUAGAUAUCAGGAGGAAUACCGAUGGCGAAGGCGGGUCUCUGGGCCGACACUGACGCUCAUGCACGAAAGCGUGGGGAGCAAACAGG